Molecule: long non-coding RNA, 607 nt
Filed under: Homo sapiens (human)
Lineage: Eukaryota; Metazoa; Chordata; Mammalia; Primates; Hominidae
Description: HSALNT0397185
Source: RNAcentral
GGUAACCUGCUCACUCCAGUCUUUUCCCACACUGUGAAAGCUUUGUUCUUUGGCUCUUUGCAGUAAAUCUUGCUGCUGCUCAGUCUUUGGGUUUCCACUGCUUUUAUGAGCUGGAACACUCACUUCAAAAGUCUGCAGUUCUACUCUUGAAGCCAGCCAGACCACUAACCCACCAGAAGAAAGAAAUUGUGAAACCGUCCAAACGUCAGAAGGAACAAACUCUGGACGCACUGUCUUUAAGAACUGUAACACUCACCACGAGGGUCCAUGGCUUUGUUCUUGAAGUCAGUGAGACCAAGAACCCACCAAUUACACCAAGAUAGCCACCAAAACAAGACACACAGACCUUGCACCCAGAUAUAACAUACCUGCAAUCAAGUAUCUCCAGUGUCUGGCUGAACUAAUUUUAGCCCAAGAAUCCACUGUGUAACCAUCACCCAGAUCAAGACAUAGUGUAUUUCCAGCACCCAGAAGUUUCCAUCGGGCCUCUCUCCCAUCGCUGACCCAAGUCACUCUCCUGUCACUGCCAAGCUGACCACUAUUCUAACUUCUAUCACCACUGAUUAAUUUUACCUAAUUUUGAACUGCAUUUAAAUGGUGCUUUUUU